Molecule: ribosomal RNA, 478 nt
Filed under: Flavobacterium psychrophilum
Lineage: Bacteria; Pseudomonadati; Bacteroidota; Flavobacteriia; Flavobacteriales; Flavobacteriaceae
Description: bacterial SSU rRNA
Rfam family: Bacterial small subunit ribosomal RNA
Source: RNAcentral
GCCUAACACAUGCAAGUCGAGGGGUAGAAUAGCAAUAUUUGAGACCGGCGCACGGGUGCGUAACGCGUAUGCAAUCUACCUUUUACAGAGGGAUAGCCCAGAGAAAUUUGGAUUAAUACCUCAUAGUAUAGUGAGUUGGCAUCAACACACUAUUAAAGUCACAACGGUAAAAGAUGAGCAUGCGUCCCAUUAGCUAGUUGGUAAGGUAACGGCUUACCAAGGCAACGAUGGGUAGGGGUCCUGAGAGGGAGAUCCCCCACACUGGUACUGAGACACGGACCAGACUCCUACGGGAGGCAGCAGUGAGGAAUAUUGGUCAAUGGGCGCAAGCCUGAACCAGCCAUGCCGCGUGCAGGAUGACGGUCCUAUGGAUUGUAAACUGCUUUUGCACAGGAAGAAACACUACCUCGUGAGGUAGCUUGACGGUACUGUGAGAAUAAGGAUCGGCUAACUCCGUGCCAGCAGCCGCGGUAAUACG